GCUGACGCUGGCGUGGGUGUGCCUGCAGGGCGCGUUCGGGGCGCUGACGGUGACGAUGAAGCUGUUUCCGGCGAUCGUCACGCUGCACCUGCUC
Molecule: transfer RNA, 94 nt
Filed under: Tepidimonas sediminis
Lineage: Bacteria; Pseudomonadati; Pseudomonadota; Betaproteobacteria; Burkholderiales
Description: tRNA-Arg
Source: RNAcentral